UACGUGGGGUGCGAGCGUUAAUCGGAUUUACUGGGCGUAAAGCGUGCGCAGGCGGCCCGUUAAGACAGGUGUGAAAUCCCUGGGCUCAACCUAGGAAUUGCGCUUGUGACUGGCGGGCUCGAGUACGGUAGAGGGGGGUGGAAUUCCUGGUGUAGCAGUGAAAUGCGUAGAGAUCAGGAGGAACACCGAUGGCGAAGGCAGCCCCCUGGGCCUGUACUGACGCUCAUGCACGAAAGCGUGGGGAGCAAACAGG
Molecule: ribosomal RNA, 253 nt
Filed under: uncultured microorganism
Description: partial 16S ribosomal RNA
Rfam family: Bacterial small subunit ribosomal RNA
Source: RNAcentral